UCAGAUUGAACGCUGGCGGCAGGCCUAACACAUGCAAGUCGAGCGGAUGAAGGGAGCUUGCUCCUGGAUUCAGCGGCGGACGGGUGAGUAAUGCCUAGGAAUCUGCCUGGUAGUGGGGGAUAACGUCCGGAAACGGGCGCUAAUACCGCAUACGUCCUGAGGGAGAAAGUGGGGGAUCUUCGGACCUCACGCUAUCAGAUGAGCCUAGGUCGGAUUAGCUAGUUGGUGGGGUAAAGGCCUACCAAGGCGACGAUCCGUAACUGGUCUGAGAGGAUGAUCAGUCACACUGGAACUGAGACACGGUCCAGACUCCUACGGGAGGCAGCAGUGGGGAAUAUUGGACAAUGGGCGAAAGCCUGAUCCAGCCAUGCCGCGUGUGUGAAGAAGGUCUUCGGAUUGUAAAGCACUUUAAGUUGGGAGGAAGGGCAGUAAGUUAAUACCUUGCUGUUUUGACGUUACCAACAGAAUAAGCACCGGCUAACUUCGUGCCAGCAGCCGCGGUAAUACGAAGGGUGCAAGCGUUAAUCGGAAUUACUGGGCGUAAAGCGCGCGUAGGUGGUUCAGCAAGUUGGAUGUGAAAUCCCCGGGCUCAACCUGGGAACUGCAUCCAAAACUACUGAGCUAGAGUACGGUAGAGGGUGGUGGAAUUUCCUGUGUAGCGGUGAAAUGCGUAGAUAUAGGAAGGAACACCAGUGGCGAAGGCGACCACCUGGACUGAUACUGACACUGAGGUGCGAAAGCGUGGGGAGCAAACAGGAUUAGAUACCCUGGUAGUCCACGCCGUAAACGAUGUCGACUAGCCGUUGGGAUCCUUGAGAUCUUAGUGGCGCAGCUAACGCGAUAAGUCGACCGCCUGGGGAGUACGGCCGCAAGGUUAAAACUCAAAUGAAUUGACGGGGGCCCGCACAAG
RNAcentral lists this ribosomal RNA (910 nucleotides) under Pseudomonas aeruginosa. RNAcentral describes it as "bacterial SSU rRNA". It matches the Rfam family "Bacterial small subunit ribosomal RNA", at positions 24 to 929 of the family's 1533-position model. The record is from RNAcentral. Lineage: Bacteria; Pseudomonadati; Pseudomonadota; Gammaproteobacteria; Pseudomonadales; Pseudomonadaceae.